UUCGGCGAGUGCUUGCUGCAGAAGGACAAGAGCAGAGCGGCCAAGUACCUGCGCCAGGCCCUGCCGUACCUGCAGAGCCCACAGGAGCCCGUGCGAGAGGCAGCCCUCGGGUUCAUUGGGAGGGCCGGGA
Molecule: long non-coding RNA, 130 nt
Organism: Empidonax traillii (willow flycatcher)
Lineage: Eukaryota; Metazoa; Chordata; Aves; Passeriformes; Tyrannidae
Exons: 3
Source: RefSeq, a predicted model, not a curated record